RNAcentral lists this ribosomal RNA (253 nucleotides) under uncultured bacterium. RNAcentral's name for it is "partial 16S ribosomal RNA". It matches the Rfam family "Bacterial small subunit ribosomal RNA", at positions 524 to 776 of the family's 1533-position model. The record is from RNAcentral.
CACGGGGGGAGCAAGCGUUGUUCGGAAUCACUGGGCGUAAAGGGCGUGUAGGCGGUCAGGUAAGUGGGACGUGAAAUGCCUCGGCUCACCCGAGGAGCGGCGUCCCAUACUGCUUGGCUUGAGUACGGGAGAGGACGUGGGAAUUCCUGGUGUAGCGGUGAAAUGCGUAGAUAUCAGGAGGAACACCGGUGGCGAAGGCGCACAUCUGGCCCGAUACUGACGCUGAGGCGCGAAAGCUAGGGGAGCAAACAGG